This 240-nucleotide ribosomal RNA is filed under the name Triticum aestivum (bread wheat). Its description in RNAcentral is "partial small subunit ribosomal RNA". Lineage: Eukaryota; Viridiplantae; Streptophyta; Magnoliopsida; Poales; Poaceae. The record is from RNAcentral.
AUGGGGUUUAGUGCAUAUCAAAAGAUAUCGGCGGCAAUGCGGGUACUCGCUUAUGGCAUACCCGCGGAUUAUACCGACGAGUAUCUUCGCAUUGGGCAAGAUACAACCACAGAGUCAGUCCGUAGGUUUGCCAAGUUGGUCAUCUGGUUGUACGGUGAGCGGUAUCUUCGGGCACCAAACGAGGAAGAUACAAAGAGAUUAAUGGAAAUGAAUGAAAAAGGGGAUGGUCGGGGAUGCUAG